Molecule: ribosomal RNA, 497 nt
Filed under: uncultured bacterium
Lineage: Bacteria
Description: partial 16S ribosomal RNA
Rfam family: Bacterial small subunit ribosomal RNA
Source: RNAcentral
GAUGAACGCUGGCGGCGUGCCUAGUACAUGCAAGUCGAGCGAACGGACGAGAAGCUUGCUUCUCUGAUGUUAGCGGCGGACGGGUGAGUAACACGUGGAUAACCUACCUAUAAGACUGGGAUAACUUCGGGAAACCGGAGCUAAUACCGGAUGAUAUUUUGAACCGCAUGGUUCAAAAGUGAAAGACGGUCUUGCUGUCACUUAUAGAUGGAUCCGCGCUGCAUUAGCUAGUUGGUAAGGUAACGACUUACCAAGGCAACGAUGCAUAGCCGACCUGAGAGGGUGAUCGGCCACACUGGAACUGAGACACGGUCCAGACUCCUACGGGAGGCAGCAGUAGGGAAUCUUCCGCAAUGGGCGAAAGCCUGACGGAGCAACGCCGCGUGAGUGAUGAAGGUCUUCGGAUCGUAAAACUCUGUUAUUAGGGAAGAACAUAUGUGUAAGUAACUGUGCACAUCUUGACGGUACCUAAUCAGAAAGCCACGGCUAACUACGUG